Molecule: long non-coding RNA, 323 nt
Organism: Hyaena hyaena (striped hyena)
Lineage: Eukaryota; Metazoa; Chordata; Mammalia; Carnivora; Hyaenidae
Exons: 3
Source: RefSeq, a predicted model, not a curated record
GGGAUGAAAGAAAAGAAAUACCUGCCCCUAAUAGAGCUGACUUUUCAGACAAAUGUGGAUUAAAUGGAAGAAAAAGUGCACUCUCAACAGCACACAGUUGGUGCUCAGCAAGUAAAAAUGAUGGGCAGCAAGUGCUUUAAGAGGAGUCAUGGAAACAAAGUGUCUUCCACCAAAGACAUACAUACAGGAUGCUCAUGUCUCCAGGAACACUUACCCUGGUUCAGAAGAAGCCCCCAAUCUGACUUAACUGUUUUUGGAUACACUGUGAGACUUUUUUAUCAAGAGGAACCUGGGUGGCUCAGUUGGUUAAACAUCUGACUCUU